CGCGUAGGCGGCUUACAUAGUCAGGCGUGAAAUUCCUGGGCUCAACCUGGGGGCUGCGUUUGAUACGUGUAGGCUUGAGUUCGGAAGAGGGUCGUGGAAUUCCCAGUGUAGAGGUGAAAUUCGUAGAUAUUGGGAAGAACACCGGUGGCGAAGGCGGCGACCUGGUCCGAAACUGACGCUGAGGCGCGAAAGCGUGGGGAGAAC
This 204-nucleotide ribosomal RNA is filed under the name uncultured bacterium. Its description in RNAcentral is "partial 16S ribosomal RNA". It matches the Rfam family "Bacterial small subunit ribosomal RNA", at positions 568 to 771 of the family's 1533-position model. The record is from RNAcentral.